Molecule: unclassified non-coding RNA, 212 nt
Filed under: Hevea brasiliensis (rubber tree)
Lineage: Eukaryota; Viridiplantae; Streptophyta; Magnoliopsida; Malpighiales; Euphorbiaceae
Source: RNAcentral
UCCAAUUCCACUUGAUAAGCCUGCUUCCUUUCUCUAGACCUGGCAGCUGAUUCCCUAUUCUUGAUCAUCCUCCUCUGUCUUUGCUGCGCCACCCUAUCUAAUGGUUCCAUUACAGGGGUCCUUCCCCUUUUUCCCCUGCCUACACCACUUCCGCCUCUUCCUGCAACCACCUCCACCUCAUUGCCAAACCCAACAAUCGACCCCUCUACUUU